Molecule: RNA transcript, 2786 nt
Organism: Capsicum annuum
Lineage: Eukaryota; Viridiplantae; Streptophyta; Magnoliopsida; Solanales; Solanaceae
Gene name: alcohol dehydrogenase-like 7
Exons: 5
Source: RefSeq, a predicted model, not a curated record
AAUCAUAAUUAUCCUAUAGAAUAAGUGAGUGUGGCUGCUGCUCAAGCAACAUGACACCGUCGACACGUCUGCCGGAGAAAAAAAGAGUAUUUUUGUAAUUUUGAUAAUUUUAUAGAGCCGCCUCACUGUGUUCCUUAUCCAUUUCGACUGCUAAGUUUUUCUUUCGUCCCUCUUUGGCUUCUCUCCUUAUAAUUUCAUUGAGCAAAGAUUGUUGUUUAUGACGGUUUGAAGUUAGUUUCUUGUCUACAUCAGUCAAAAACUACAAUUUUAAGAACGGUAAUUGGGUGUUUUUCUUUUUGAGAAAUGGAUCAAAAAGAUUUCUGAUUUCUUCCAGAUCUGCAAGCACACACAAUAGGAAAAGUAAAGAUACAUUGUUUUGAUUAUAAUAAUCUGAGAACCUUCCUCUAUUGUUUAUUAGUUCUUUAAUAAGGAUUUGUUGAUAUCUCUUUGUCAGUUCACAUAGUAUUUCCUUGCUAUAGCUCGACCCGAAUAUAGUAGAUUAGCCUUUUAAUCUCUGCUUUGUGUUUUUCUUAUUUGGGUAUUGCAGACAUUGAAAUUCUGUGGACUCUAUAAAAAGAGUUCAAUUUUUAUUAGAGUUUUUGGGCUACUUUACUUUAAAUCUGGCUUGAUGACUAUUCGAUCUAAAUCCUAAAUUAUAUGUAUAUAAAGGGGCAAAUAUUCAAAUCUGAAAAGUCUCCAUAAAUUCAUGUGAUAUUAAUAAAGAUCAAAAUUUCCUCUUUUUGAUAAUCAAAUACAUUAAGAAAACAAACUCUCCUUUCAUGGAGAUCAAAUUCAAAUGUUUCUACGUUCGAAAAUACCUCACUAACGGUCCUCAAAUUACGGAAAAUUCAUAUCCAAAUCUUCAUACAUUCGAGAAAUAUGCUAUUGACGGCCUUCAAAUUACAGAGAAAAUUAAGAGAGAAUAAGGAAGGAAUAAAUUUGUACCCAUCGUUUAUCAAUAAAACUGUUGUUUUUCAUAAUUUUAUUUGUGGUUGAAGUUUAUUUUCCAUGAAUUAAAUUAUAUUGAAAAUAAAUUGGCAUUUCCUUCAUCUCUUUUCUCAUAAAUUAAAUAUGCAAAUUUGUAAUCGCAGGAUCGUAAAGAUGAAAGUGGUACUUCAAGACUCGUCUUUGAGUUUCAUCAAGUCUACACGGGCAUUUGUAGACAUUGGUCAUUUGUAGACAUUGAAAUUUUGGGGACUUUACAAAAAGAAUUUUUGUUAGAGUUCUUGGCGCUAUUUUACCAUAAAUGCUACUCGACCUAAACCCUAAAUUAUGCCUGUAUAAAGGGGCAAAUAUACUUUGAAGAGGCAUCCCCAAUAUCCAAAAAGAUCAAAGAUCUAAAAAGUCCCAAUAAAUUCAUGGGAUAUUUAUAAAGAUUAAAACCUUUCUUCUUGAUAAUCAAAUACAUCAAGAAACAAAUCCUCCUUUCAUGGAGAUCAAAUUCAAAUGUUUCUACCACUAACGACCCUCGAAUUAUGGAAAAAUUCAUAUCCAAAUCUUCAUACAUUCGAGAAAUAUGUUAUUGACGAUCCUCGAAUUACGGAGAAAAUCAAGAGAGAAGAAUCAAGGGUUUAUCAAUAAAACUGUUGUUUCUUCAUAUUUUUAUUUGUGGUUGAAGUUUAUUUUUCAUGAAUUAAAUUAUGUUGGAAACAGAUAUUCUGUAAGUGGAAAAAAAAGAAAAAGAUUGGAGGAGUUUGAAUAUUUUGUACACAAGGUGAUUUUUAGCUAAAGGCCAACUCAGCGAUACCUUACUUCUUACUUUGUGCUUGCUAUUCUGUUUUCUGGAACUGCUUAUUUUCACUGUGAUUUUAUACAUAUUUUUGCUUUCUGAAUUUUGAUUUCAUGUGUUUAGAUGUUCAGUCAUAAACAGAAAAGGAAGCGUAUCUGUUCUGAAGAAAGAAAUGAUAAAAUUAAGCAGCGACGACGUGAAAUGUACAGGGCCAUGCCAGCUGAUAAAUGAGAAAAGAACUUGCUCCAACGACGAAGGACUUCCAAUCAGCUUAGACCAGAAAAUCCAAGCAGCAAUUUUCCCGGUAUGGCAGCUUCAUCUGAAUUUAAUUCGCACCUGAUUUGCGAAAAACUUGACAGAACUCCACCCUCAUGUCCUCUACGGGAAACAGACAAUGGUUCACUUAAGGAUGAGAGGUCUCUUUAUACGGUUUUUGGCGAGUCCUCUAUCUCGACGAGGUAGGGCUGCGAUAGCAAGAAAACCAGGAGAACCUCUGGUGAUAGAGGAGGUGAUUGUGGCUCCACCUAAAGUCCAUGAAGUUCGCCUAAAAAUCAUAUGUACUUCUCUCUGUCACAGCGACGUUACCUUCUGGAAGUUGAAAUUUUCCUUUAGGACUUUCCUGGAUGCUUUCCAAGAAUAUUGGGACACGAGGCUUCGGUUGAGGCCAUAGUGAUGCGGAAUUUGAUCCAGAGCAUGCAAGAAGAUUUCGAGGAUAAAUUGUGGGAUAGAUAAUAGUCAAUUUUGUGACGCUCGGGUUGUCCUGCUGAUGUAGCUGAGUAUUUUCAAACAAGUCGCUCAUUUGGGGAGCUGCAGCUCUGUACGUAUAAAUGCUCUGAGGUUAGCAAUCCGCCUUCUUCGCAUUCAGCAAUUAAGACCGAAGUCCUCCAUCACCUCAGCACCUAUCAUAAGUUCUGUUGUUUACUCCUUGGAAAAAUGUUCAGGAAAAACUCUUAUUUUGUUCAUAGGAUUGCUCAAGAACAUACAAUAUCUCGCCACCACUCCAACAUUUCUAGACAAUACUUAUUCUACUACAAGAAGUGUUCCCACAGUUUGACAA